This 741-nucleotide small RNA is filed under the name Arabidopsis thaliana (thale cress). RNAcentral's name for it is "ATSL197050". Lineage: Eukaryota; Viridiplantae; Streptophyta; Magnoliopsida; Brassicales; Brassicaceae. The record is from RNAcentral.
UAACCGUUAACUAUUAAAUCGCUCCGGUCAAACGUUAGCCCUAGACGUCACGAAGCUUCCCACAAAAUAUCGUCCUGAUCGGAAAACAGACGAGACCACGAUCUCAAUUUCAAUCCCCGCUGGUCCUAAUUCGCGUCUGAGAAAACGUGUCUCACGAAACUGCGAAUAACUCAACCAAUUGUAAUCCAAAUCAAGUUCUGUAAACUGGAGAAUAACAAUAAACGACUUGGAAAUAACUCUACCUAAUUUUGUUACCUUUUACCACGAUUUGAUAUGACGAAACAGAUUUCUCCCAAACCCUAACGAUUCUGCUCAUUCUCCUUCUCUCUCUUUUUCUCCUUUAUAAAACGAAAAGUGGCUAACUAAAACCCUAAUUUCGAGUUUCUUUCUUUUAUAUGCACACUAUAGGGUUUCCAAUUAACCCAACCAAUUAAACCGGACGAUUUAAAAACAAACCCUAACCGAUUUUCCGGUUCACGGGCGUUACAAUUGAAACAAACCCUAACCGAUUAUCCGGUUCACGGGCGUUACAUCUGCCGCAUGGAAAUCAUCGGGAUCACUGUACACGCUGUAAUAUUAGCAUCUUUGAGGGCAUCCGUCCGGUAGACUAUGUUUCUUCCACGAGGCCUUGAAGUUAAGAGAGGUCUGAGGUACCACCAACAUUUGUUAGCCAUUUUUGGCUAUCUUGGCUAGCAAAUCGUCAGGUAUAUUUGGUGUAGACAUAUCUUAGAAUUACGUAUU